AUCUUUAGAAUCUUUUGGUUUUGUUUAUUUGAAAUAGUUUUUGAUAGUCGAUUGAUCCUGCUCUUUAAUCUUCUUAAGUUCAUUGUUUGGGUUUCUUGGUCAAUCAUUAAGAACAAGAAGAUAGAAUGAAUCAGAAUAAAUUUUUUGGGGGUUUUCCCCUUCUAUCGUAGGGAGGGUUUGAUGAAUAUUUCUGAAAAUAGUUGAGAGAUGUGUCUUGUUUCGUAAUGCUUUGUUAGAUGGCUUAUCUGUUCCAUAUAAAUAUAUUAUUUUUUGAAUUUGUUCAUCUACAAACGUGUUUUCUUUCUGGGUUUCUCUAGAUGAGCAAUUCCAAGUUAUUUUUAUGUGCUUUGUUGUAGGAGUAGAAAUAAAGGGAUAUCACAUAUAUGUAAAAGUUAUUUUUCUUCAAUGAUAUAGGUUCAGUGAUUAUCUCCACUAACCUGUUUAUUUUGUGGAUAUUAUAUAUACCUUACAGGAGACAGAUUGGAGGCUGACUAAUGAUGAUGAUUUUGAAGUAUCUUUGUUUCCAUAUUGGUCUUUAUGUGCAUGUUUUCUCUCUUUUAUUGCAGUGUAAUGAUUCUGUUCUUGAAAUCUGAGAUUAUUAACAACCUUUUGAUUGUGAAUCUUAAGAUCAUCUCAUUGAGUCAUAUUUUGUCUCUAUUUUUACAUGUUUCAGAUCUAGAUUAUCUGUUUAUAACAGUGUGUAAUGAAGUCUAAAUUAUUAACUACUGAUUUGAACUUAACUUCUCUUUCUUUUCCCUUAUUAUGCAAGCUUUUGUGUGGUAACCUUUUUAUAGUUUCCAGUUAAAUGUUUUUCCUUUUCGAGUUCUUUCUGUGUUGCUCAUAUAUGUUUGUAGACUAUUUUCACGUGUUUAGGUUAUUAAUUAUCUUUAUUUUGUUGGCUAAGCUUUUAAUGUAUUCUGUUGUUGUUUAAAAGAUAAAGGGACAUCAGUGUCACUUGUAGUUUUUACUAGUUUCCAGUUAAAUGCUUAUAUGAAUCAUGAGUAGUGUGGUCAGGAAUUUCUUUCUUUGAUGCUAUGGUUUUUUUUCCAACUGAUUGUGUGUUCUACACUAUUUAAUUAGUACCAUAUUCAUGCUAUGGAAUGUAUAUUUAGUGUUUCUUUUUGGCUUAAUGGGUUAAGCACUUAAUCUGGAGAGCUAUAUGACUGUUUCUAUUUUGAAUCUUAUGAUGACUAAAUGUUUUUUACUCAUAUUUAGUUCUCAUCAAGUCUUCAUUCAGACCCUCGAUUCAUAGCAGUGAGUGUAGAUUGUGUGCCUUUUGAAUAUUAAUAUUAAGAGCAUCACAUUCUUUUUCUACAGUUCCUAUGGUGGCAACAAAUGCAUGUAUGGAUCCAAAGAUUCAAUUCUUUGUUUAUCAUAUGUUGUUUUUCAUCUGUCACUUGUCUUGUUCUUGGUUCUUCUUUGAUGGGUUUAUUUGAAGGGUUUUGAUUUUUGAAUGACAGAGGUUCCUUAUACAAUUCUUUCCAACUUGAAAAUUAAGGUCAUUGAGUUUCUUGGUUAUCGGGUUCUUUUUUUUUUCGUCAUGUUCUUCAUUUUAUACAGAGAUAUCAGUAUGGCUUAUAUAACAAAUAUUUUUCUUUAAUGAUUAUCUCCAUUAACUUGUUUAUUUUGUGGAUAUAUACCUUACAGGAUAACUAAUGAUGAUGAUUUUGAAGUAUCAUCUUUUCUAUAAUGGUCUUUAUGUGUUUCCUUUUUUAUUUUUUUGGUUUCUGGUUGAAAGUUGGGGAGUUCUCUUCCAUUUUGGUGAGAUGUUUUCUCAAUGUGGAUAUUCCAUUCAAGUAGGUGUCUGAUUUCAGCUCUUUCUUUCUCUCUUUUAUUGCAGUGCAAUGAUCCUGUUCUUAGAAUCUAAGAUCCUCUCAUCUUUUUUUUUUCUUUUUUUUUUCUAUAGUUGCUAUGAUGACACCAAAUGUACAUCUGUUUACUUAGAUUCAGUUCUUUUCAAUUCUUGCAUGCUGGUAAAUUACAAUUGAGUUAGGUUGUCCUUUCUUAUUAUUGCUAUAGAGGCCCCACCCAAAGUCAAUGGAUGUUUACUCAGAAUCCAUUCCUGUGAUGGUGGCUAUUUGCAGGAAGGACAUUAUGUUCAAAACAACUCGACUAAUAGCCUGAAUAUGAUGUCCCUCUUGUAGACUAUUUUCAUGUGUUUAGGUACCACUUUCAGUUGUGAUGAUGCAUGGUGACACAAAAUGCAUGAGACAGAUGGGAGUCUGACUAAAUCUAAUGAAUUUAAAGCAUCUUCUUUUCUAUAAUGGUCUUAAUUUGUUUUGCUUUUUUGGGUUUCUGGUUGAAAGUUGUGGAGCACAAGCAUGAGACUUCUCCUUCCAUUAUGGUUAUUUGUAAGCUUCUCAUGAAAAAUAAUUUGAUAGGAGCAACACACUGGGGAGCACAUGUUAUUAUGUAUAUAGCAAAAAUGCAAGGUUCAUUUAUAUGUUUCUUUGUGAUUAUUAAUUCAGUAAUGCUCAAUGAUCAAAAUGAUUGGUUUCAUUUGUGCAGAAAGUUCAAAAUCAGGGAUUCCUAUCCUAUCCUCCAAAGCAUGUUGAGAGAAACACUUCUUUUUUCCUUCACUGAAGAUGAAGGAAACACUUGUUUAUCUUAUGAUAAAUGCAAUAAAUGACAAUGUACUUUCAUUGAUUUGUUUAUUAUAGCAUCAUUCUUCCUAUUACAACAUGGCACUUUGAAAUACUUACCCAGUUAUAGCAAUA
This is a long non-coding RNA of Lactuca sativa (garden lettuce), 2717 nucleotides long. RefSeq lists it as uncharacterized. The record is from RefSeq and is a predicted model, not a curated record. NCBI's taxonomy places the organism in Eukaryota, Viridiplantae, Streptophyta, Magnoliopsida, Asterales, Asteraceae.